AGAUUGAACGCUGGCGGCAGGCCUAACACAUGCAAGUCGAGCGCGAAAGUUCCUUCGGGAAUGAGUAGAGCGGCGGACGGGUGAGUAACGCGUAGGAAUUUGCCCAGUAGUGGGGGACAACUCGGGGAAACUCGAGCUAAUACCGCAUACGCCCCAAGGGGGAAAGCAGGGGAUCUUCGGACCUUGCGCUAUUGGAUAAGCCUGCGUCGGAUUAGCUAGUUGGUGGGUAAGGCCUACCAAGGCAACGAUCCGUAGCUGGUCUGAGAGGAUGAUCAGCCACACUGGGACUGAGACACGGCCCAGACUCCUACGGGAGGCAGCAGUGGGGAAUAUUGGACAAUGGGGGCAACCCUGAUCCAGCCAUGCCGCGUGUGUGAAGAAGGCCUUAGGGUGUAAAGCACUUUCAGUGGGAGAAAAGCGUGGCGGCUAAGUAUACCGUCGGCCCUGACGUUACCCACAGAAGAAGCACCGGCAAACUCCGUGCCAGCCAGCCGC
Molecule: ribosomal RNA, 495 nt
Filed under: uncultured soil bacterium
Lineage: Bacteria
Description: bacterial SSU rRNA
Rfam family: Bacterial small subunit ribosomal RNA
Source: RNAcentral